UCUGUUAGUCUAAAAACAUAAAAAUAAUGACAACGAAACUCUCGAAAUGUCAUUAGGAAAAUUUCCAUUCUCAUUUCGAGCUUUUGAGCAUGAUUAAGUGAGAGGAAGCUCUGUCAGUCGUAAGCAUUGCUCAAAAUGUUAAUAUUUCUCCCUGAAUUACCUGAAUCAGAUUGUUUUGAUCAAAGGAUUUAUUUCUACCACAAGCAUGUGAUGACUGUGCAAGCCUAAUUAUUAAGUUGUUUAGCCUCAUGCAAAGGAACUAUUUCAAAAAUGAAAUGUUGAACCUCCUUGUAAAUAAUAUUAACGAAGAAGUUGACAACAAA
This 323-nucleotide unclassified non-coding RNA is filed under the name Helicoverpa zea (corn earworm). RNAcentral's name for it is "zinc finger protein 708-like, transcript variant X2". Lineage: Eukaryota; Metazoa; Arthropoda; Insecta; Lepidoptera; Noctuidae. The record is from RNAcentral.